AGUGAACGCUGGCGGUAGGCCUAACACAUGCCAGUCGAACGGCAGCACAGUAAGAGCUUGCUCUUACGGGUGGCGAGUGGCGGACGGGUGAGGAAUACAUCGGAAUCUACUUUUUCGUGGGGGAUAACGUAGGGAAACUUACGCUAAUACCGCAUACGACCUACGGGUGAAAGCAGGGGAUCUUCGGACCUUGCGCGAUUGAAUGAGCCGAUGUCGGAUUAGCUAGUUGGCGGGGUAAAGGCCCACCAAGGCGACGAUCCGUAGCUGGUCUGAGAGGAUGAUCAGCCACACUGGAACUGAGACACGGUCCAGACUCCUACGGGAGGCAGCAGUGGGGAAUAUUGGGCAAUGGGCGCAAGCCUGAUACAGCCAUACCGCGUGGGUGAAGAAGGCCUUCGGGUUGUAAAGCCCUUUUGUUGGGAAAGAAAAGCAGCAGGUUAAUACCCCGCUGUUCUGACGGUACCCAAAGAAUAAGCACCGGCUAACUUCGUG
Molecule: ribosomal RNA, 492 nt
Filed under: uncultured bacterium
Lineage: Bacteria
Description: partial 16S ribosomal RNA
Rfam family: Bacterial small subunit ribosomal RNA
Source: RNAcentral